CUACGCACUCCACGGGAGGCAGCAGUGGGGAAUAUUGCACAAUGGGCGCAAGCCUGAUGCAGCCAUGCCGCGUGUAUGAAGAAGGCCUUCGGGUUGUAAAGUACUUUCAGCAGUGAGGAAGGUGGGUAUGUUAAUAGCAUACUCAUUUGACGUUAGCUGCAGAAGAAGCACCGGCUAACUCCGUGCCAGCAAGCCGCGGUAAUACGGAGGGUGCGAGCGUUAAUCGGAAUUACUGGGCGUAAAGCGCAUGCAGGUGGUUUGUUAAGUCAGAUGUGAAAGCCCGGGGCUCAACCUCGGAAUUGCAUUUGAAAACUGGCAAACUAGAGUACUGUAGAGGGGGUAGAAUUUCAGGUGUAGCGGUGAAAUGCGUAGAGAUCUGAAGGAAUACCGGUGGCGAAGGCGGCCCCCUGGACAGAUACUGACACUCAGAUGCGAAAGCCGUGGGGAGCAAACAGGAUUAGAUACCCUGGUAG
This 473-nucleotide ribosomal RNA is filed under the name uncultured bacterium. RNAcentral describes it as "bacterial SSU rRNA". It matches the Rfam family "Bacterial small subunit ribosomal RNA", at positions 329 to 793 of the family's 1533-position model. The record is from RNAcentral.